Molecule: long non-coding RNA, 384 nt
Organism: Pan paniscus (pygmy chimpanzee)
Lineage: Eukaryota; Metazoa; Chordata; Mammalia; Primates; Hominidae
Source: Ensembl
CAGAGGCAAGACACAAAGCUGCUUCAUAAUCCAUGGUCAAACCAGUGCCAGCAGUUCUACCUCUGAGGUCACAGAUAGUCAUGUCUCCCAAAUAAUUCCACAGGCAAGACUGCUCCUGGACCAUGCUUGAAGGGGCUAGAGUUGGAUCAUGCACUACUUCAGGGUCCAUAACCUGAACUGAAGUCCCAGGCUUUUCACUUGAGUGCUGUACAUGUGUGUCCUUCAGGUAAUGAUGAAGCCUCUACAGAGCUCUCUUCUCAGCCUUGCUCUGCCAUUUCUGCUGCUAUUGCAGCAGUGACACUGGAAUCCCUGAAGCAUCAAAUCUUGAAUUGGAGACAUGGAUACAUAAUAAGUAGUCCUUUAAAGAACAUAUGGAGAAGGUAG